AAUGAACGCUGGCGGCGCGCCUAAUACAUGCAAGUCGAGCGAGAAGACGUAGCAAUACGUUUGUAAAGCGGCGAACGGGUGAGGAAUACAUGGGUAACCUACCCUAGAGUGGGGAAUAACUAGCCGAAAGGUUAGCUAAUACCGCGUACGCUCCUUGGACUUCGGUUCAGGGAGGAAAGCGAUACCGAGGGUAUCGCGCUCUUGGAUGGGCUCAUGUCCUAUCAGCUUGUUGGUGAGGUAACGGCUCACCAAGGCUUCGACGGGUAGCUGGUCUGAGAGGACGAUCAGCCACACUGGCACUGCGACACGGGCCAGACUCCUACGGGAGGCAGCAGUAAGGAAUAUUGCGCAAUGGGCGAAAGCCUGACGCAGCGACGCCGCGUGGGGGAUGAAGGUCUUCGGAUUGUAAACCCCUUU
Molecule: ribosomal RNA, 417 nt
Filed under: uncultured bacterium
Lineage: Bacteria
Description: bacterial SSU rRNA
Rfam family: Bacterial small subunit ribosomal RNA
Source: RNAcentral